This 68-nucleotide transfer RNA is filed under the name uncultured Prevotella sp. It matches the Rfam family "tRNA". From Rfam's summary of the family: Transfer RNA (tRNA) molecules are approximately 80 nucleotides in length. The record is from RNAcentral. Lineage: Bacteria; Pseudomonadati; Bacteroidota; Bacteroidia; Bacteroidales; Prevotellaceae. RNAcentral also lists the same sequence under 1 other name.
GGAUGUAGUUCAGUUGGUUAGAGCGUCAGAUUGUGGUUCUGAAUGUCGUGGGUUCGAGUCCCACUAUC